Long non-coding RNA from Bos taurus (domestic cattle), 438 nucleotides. The record is from Ensembl. NCBI's taxonomy places the organism in Eukaryota, Metazoa, Chordata, Mammalia, Artiodactyla, Bovidae.
ACUUCUUUGAAGGUAAUGGGACCAUCUGAUCUGAGAUCACACAGAAUCUUUGAUCUUAGUUGUGGCAUGUGGGAUCUAGUUCCCUGACCAGGAAUCGAACCCAGGCUCUCCGCAUUGGGAGUGAGGAGUCUUAGCCACUGGACCACCAGGGAAGUCCCCAAGGACAAAAUGAUGCUGUCCUUGAUAUGGUGUCUUUGCUGAGGGACUGCAGUGUACAGACAAGCCCUGCUGUCUGUUGGUCCUACACAUCUUGCCUUCAGCCUCCUGAACUAGCACUGUCGUCUGUUGGGCUCCUCUCCGUGUUCUUGGCCCAGAUGAGCCUGAGUGCAGCCCCUGACAAGGUUUAAGCCUCCUGGCAGAGCUCGUUUCUGAAACGAUGGUUAUUGUGUUUGUCAGUUAAUGACCUCUUUGCCUAAAUAAAGUUCACAGUCAUUGAUG